Molecule: ribosomal RNA, 350 nt
Filed under: uncultured bacterium
Lineage: Bacteria
Description: partial 16S ribosomal RNA
Rfam family: Bacterial small subunit ribosomal RNA
Source: RNAcentral
CCUACGGGUGGCUGCAGUAGGGAAUAUUGCUCAAUGGGGGAAACCCUGACGCAGCAACGCCGCGUGGAGGAUGAAGGUUUUCGGAUUGUAAACUCCUUUUGUCAGAGAAGAGAAUGACGGUAGCUAACGAAUAAGCACCGGCUAACUCCGGGCCAGCAGCCGCGGUAAUACGGAGGGUGCAAGCGUUAGUCGGAACCACUGGGCGGAACGAGAGCGUAGGCGGGAUGGCAAGUCAGAUGUGAAAUCCGAUGGCUUAACCAUGGAACUGCAUUUGAAACUGUUAUUCUAGAGUAUGGGAGAGGUAGGUGGAAUUCUUGGUGUAGUGGUCAAAUCCGUAGAUAUCUGGAGGA